Long non-coding RNA from Ochotona curzoniae (black-lipped pika), 216 nucleotides. RefSeq lists it as uncharacterized. The record is from RefSeq and is a predicted model, not a curated record. NCBI's taxonomy places the organism in Eukaryota, Metazoa, Chordata, Mammalia, Lagomorpha, Ochotonidae. The transcript has 2 exons.
CCCAUGGAAUGCCGACAUCCCCUGGUGCCCCACAAUGCUGGCCUUUCACAGCACCAUAGCCACAGCCCAGAGAAGCCCUGCUUUUGUCCCUGGAGGUGAAGCCACCGGGCUGACUUGGGCACGGAGAAGAGAGAAGCAGAUCAGGGUACAAGACACUGCACGGGAUGCACUGCCAAGCUGACGACAGAAAUGACUCGCGCUGAAGACUUCUGGAAA